UCCCCCCAAGGGAUCUAGGGUCCCGGUAUUUAAAAAACUUGAACUGCUUCGGGUGAACGGGAAGCCGGUGAAAGUCCGGCGCGGACCCGCCACUGUAAGCCUGACUCUGCGAGCGUUAUCCACUGGGGAUUUGGAUCCCUGGGAAGGGGCCCGUUAGGGGAUGAGGGUGAGCCAGGAGACCGGCCCGGGGCAGCGGCGGGAG
This 202-nucleotide non-coding RNA is filed under the name Thermanaerovibrio acidaminovorans. The record is from RNAcentral. RNAcentral also lists the same sequence under 1 other name. Lineage: Bacteria; Thermotogati; Synergistota; Synergistia; Synergistales; Synergistaceae.